Molecule: ribosomal RNA, 253 nt
Filed under: uncultured bacterium
Lineage: Bacteria
Description: partial 16S ribosomal RNA
Rfam family: Bacterial small subunit ribosomal RNA
Source: RNAcentral
UACGUAGGGCGCAAGCGUUAUCCGGAAUUAUUGGGCGUAAAGAGCUUGUAGGCGGUUUGUCGCGUCUGCUGUGAAAAUCCGGGGCUCAACCCCGGACUUGCAGUGGGUACGGGCAGGCUAGAGUGUGGUAGGGGAGACUGGAAUUCCUGGUGUAGCGGUGGAAUGCGCAGAUAUCAGGAGGAACACCGAUGGCGAAGGCAGGUCUCUGGGCCACUACUGACGCUGAGAAGCGAAAGCAUGGGGAGCGAACAGG